RNAcentral lists this long non-coding RNA (1640 nucleotides) under Homo sapiens (human). RNAcentral describes it as "HSALNT0291397". The record is from RNAcentral. Lineage: Eukaryota; Metazoa; Chordata; Mammalia; Primates; Hominidae.
UGUUAGACUUUUCCUGUGAGUGUCAAAUGGACUGGGGGGUUGGCUUGAGGUGCAGGGUUGGGCUAUAAGAUAUUCCAGGUCUCUUUAAACUACAAAUCCAGAUCAGCUUUGACUGCCAUGCUGAUUGCCUGAUUCCUUUCCUCUGCCAGCACAUAGUAUUUCCCACCCACUUUGGAAGAAAGAACAUUUUAUUUUUAUUUGAGCUGCUUGCUUCAAAUCUCUAUAGCUGAUUAUUUUUCACCAAAUUAUUUUUGAAGGCUUGAACCAAAGUUUAUGUGCAUCACUGCAAAGAAAGGAUAGCUAAGAGGAUUAAUAAUAUGAACAACAUGGCAAGGAAAAGAAGCUUCAACUCACUAAAAUAAACUUACAGAAACUUAUCAGGAGUAAUUUGUAUACAAUGUGCCAAUUACUAACAAGCUGCAUCUGUUUAGUAAAUGUAUCUUAAAACUUUUUAAAAAUCGCUAUUGAAAACAUCACUUUAUCUUACUGAAUAUGAGCACAGUUCUUUUGAAUUUAUUGCCAGUAUUUCCUAAUUCAGUCAGUUUUCACACCUUCAGGUGGAUUUCCCUAUUUUAAUUAUGUCUUGGAAUAGGAUGCCAAACCUCCAGCGUCUUUCCUCUCUUGGAAAGUAUCUAUCCAGAGAGUUUGAGAAACCAUGCCUUUAAAUUAACUAACUGCUGAGUUCUACAGAAUUGGAGAAAAUUGAUUAUUUCCUUGUAUUUCACAGACUGUAUCCUUUUAAGUGACAUCUCUUAAAUAACUUCAUUUGCAAUCUGCAGAGACUCAUUUUCCUGCAUCUGUGCAAUGACUGUGAGUUUUGGAUGCAGUAUGCCCAGGGCCCUCACUAGUAAUUGGUAACAGAAGCAGCAGUAGCCUGUGAGGAUGGGAACAUGAAUUAAACCCUCCUUAGUGCUGGUGGUGGAUCACCUCCCUCAAGCAUAGCCCUUUAAUCGGGUUGUAUUCACUUUCAUAAUCUGCAUCUGCCUCUCCCUUCUUUUCUUAUAUUGUUACUGUUUUCAAAUGAAAAGUGUGGAAGGUAAGUUUUUUUUUAAUUGUACUUAAUUACAAUAACAACCAGCAGUAAGAUAUAUCUUUGCCAGUUGCUCUUAUUCAUGGUGUAGAUAAAAAAAUCUGAGUACAGUGGGCAAUAAAUAGUGGAAAACCAAUCCCACUUUAUCUUUAGAUUAAAUUGAAUGUACUUUCUUCUUAAAAAUACUGUUUUGUUUAGUUGUUAAAUCCUGAAAAGAAACUAGUAUAUUUGCUAACUGGAGUUAUUUGGAAAAAACAAAAAUGCAUCUGUUCCCAGUCAGAUAUGAGAAAGCCUGCUGAUUAACUGAAGAGUUUUUAUUCUAUAUGUAAAGAAAAUAUUAUUUGAAAGAGUUUUCUAGUAAAUUUUACUUAUUUGUAGCCAGCUGCUUAGGAGUAGUGGUUAAUGUCAAUGAUCUAUAUCAUAGUAGAUAGGAAAAGUGGAUCCAAGAACCCCAAUGGGUUUUUACACCAACAUACGUAAUUUUUGGCUUUUUGAUGGAAACAAAGUUUCUCAUCAUUGACAAGCCUGACACUCAGGAAUGUACAGUUAGGUUACUAUCAAGUCUCUGUGGUUCUGGAAAUUCAUCUUGCUCUACCAGAGUUAUAUAUUG